Unclassified non-coding RNA from Callithrix jacchus (white-tufted-ear marmoset), 301 nucleotides. It matches the Rfam family "Metazoan signal recognition particle RNA". Rfam says of the family: The signal recognition particle (SRP) is a universally conserved ribonucleoprotein. It is involved in the co-translational targeting of proteins to membranes. Lineage: Eukaryota; Metazoa; Chordata; Mammalia; Primates; Cebidae. The record is from Ensembl.
GCUGGGCACUGUGGCUCAUGCCUGUAGUCCCAGCUACUCAGGAGGCUGAGGUAAGAGGAUCCGCUUGAGCCCAGGAGUUCUGGGCUGUAGUGCGCUAUGCCGAUCAGGUGUCUGCACUAAGUUUGGCAUCAGUAUGGUGACCUCCCAGGAGUGGGGGACCACCAGAUUGCCUAAGGAGGGGUGAGCCAGCCCAGGUCAGAAACAGAGCAGGUCAAAACUCCCAUGCUGAUCAGUGGUGGGAUGGCGCCUGUGAAUAGCCACUGCACUCCAGCCUGGGCAACAUAUCGAGAACUUGUCUCCA